ACGAACGCUGGCGGCGUGCUUAACACAUGCAAGUCGUACGGUAAGGCCCUUUCGGGGGUACACGAGUGGCGACCGGGUGAGUAACACGUGAGUAACCUGCCCACAACUUUGGGAUAACGCUAGGAAACUGGUGCUAAUACUGGAUAUGUGCUCCUUCUGCAUGGUGGGGGUUGGAAAGCUCCGGCGGUUGUGGAUGGACUCGCGGCCUAUCAGCUUGUUGGUGGGGUAGUGGCCUACCAAGGCGGCGACGGGUAGCCGGCCUGAGAGGGUGACCGGCCACAUUGGGACUGAGAUACGGCCCAGACUCCUACGGGAGGCAGCAGUGGGGAAGAUUGCACAAUGGGCGCAAGCCUGAUGCAGCAACGCCGCGUGCGGGAUGACGGCCUUCGGGUUGUAAACCGCUUUCAGCAGGGACGAAGCUUUUUGUGACGGUACCUGCAGAAGAAGCACCGGCUAACUACGUG
RNAcentral lists this ribosomal RNA (464 nucleotides) under uncultured bacterium. Its description in RNAcentral is "partial 16S ribosomal RNA". It matches the Rfam family "Bacterial small subunit ribosomal RNA", at positions 29 to 507 of the family's 1533-position model. The record is from RNAcentral.